This 447-nucleotide long non-coding RNA is filed under the name Gossypium barbadense (sea-island cotton). RNAcentral describes it as "long non-coding RNA (GBAR_LNC005794)". The record is from RNAcentral. Lineage: Eukaryota; Viridiplantae; Streptophyta; Magnoliopsida; Malvales; Malvaceae.
CUCAUCAUCACUAAAAGAGAUGAAAUUGUCCGUAUUCAGAUUGUUUACCCACCUAUCAAGCUUCUCAACGGAUAUGUUGUUAGCUACGUAAGCUUGAUUUAACACUUUCAGCAAAGCGUUCCGAUGUGGCUCUGAAUUUAAGAGUAGAGAUAAAAUUGAGAUUCUUGCUGGCUGCUUGCUUAAUUGUUCCACCACACUAUACUCACUGUGCUUGAUAAAUUUCAAGAAUUCCUGAGCUUCUUCCUCGUUCACAGGCUUUUUAGUUUCUUGCACGGGUGGAAUUUCUUGCUCGACUUCGACUUCGUGCAUCACUGCUUUCCCUUUUUGCUUCGAGUCACUACUUUUCUUUAUCGGUUCAAUUUCUUUAGAAUAGCACCGUCCACUUCGGGUAAAAUGACCUACCUCUCCCACAUCUUCAGUUAUGGCUUUGGAAUUUCCAACUUCCGG